Molecule: non-coding RNA, 29 nt
Filed under: Mus musculus (house mouse)
Lineage: Eukaryota; Metazoa; Chordata; Mammalia; Rodentia; Muridae
Source: RNAcentral
UAUCCUCCUGGAGAAUGGACAGGUAUGCA